UCCUACGGGAGGCAGCAGUGGGGAAUAUUGGACAAUGGGCGCAAGCCUGAUCCAGCCAUGCCGCGUGAGUGAUGAAGGCCUUAGGGUUGUAAAGCUCUUUCGUCAGGGAAGAUAGUGACGGUACCUGGAGAAGCAGCUGCGGCUAACUACGUGCCAGCAGCCGCGGUAAUACGUAGGCAGCAAGCGUUGUUCGGAGUUACUGGGCGCAAAGGGUGUGUAGGCGGUUCUUUAAGUUUGGUGUGAAAUCUCCCGGCUUAACCGGGAGGGUGCGCCGAAUACUGAGGGACUAGAGUACGGGAGAGGAAAGUGGAAUUCCUGGUGUAGCGGUGAAAUGCGUAGAUAUCAGGAGGAACACCGGUGGUGUAGGCGGCUUUCUGGACCGUAACUGACGCUGAGACACGAAAGCGUGGGUAGCAAACAGGAUUAGAUACCCUGGUAGUCCACGCCCUAAACGAUGCAUAUUUGGUGUGGGCAGUUCAUUCUGUCUGUGCCGGAGCUAACGCGUUAAAUAUGCCGCCUGGGGAGUACAGUCGCAAGGCUGAA
RNAcentral lists this ribosomal RNA (543 nucleotides) under uncultured soil bacterium. RNAcentral describes it as "bacterial SSU rRNA". It matches the Rfam family "Bacterial small subunit ribosomal RNA", at positions 337 to 898 of the family's 1533-position model. The record is from RNAcentral.